AAGCAACACUCUGUGGCAAAUUAUCAAAAUAGUCUGACACAAUUUGAGCUUGCUACAGCAAUAAAGUCUAACCUAUUCCAUCACUCUCCCCUCUGUGAGAUGGUCCAUUACAUAAACUUCAACAGC
RNAcentral lists this small nucleolar RNA (126 nucleotides) under Chinchilla lanigera (long-tailed chinchilla). RNAcentral's name for it is "Small nucleolar RNA SNORA28 (ENSCLAG00000020936.1)". It matches the Rfam family "Small nucleolar RNA SNORA28". Rfam says of the family: ACA28 is a member of the H/ACA class of snoRNA that guide the sites of modification of uridines to pseudouridines. Lineage: Eukaryota; Metazoa; Chordata; Mammalia; Rodentia; Chinchillidae. The record is from Rfam by way of RNAcentral.